GGACGAACGCUGGCGGCGUGCUUAACACAUGCAAGUCGAACGGAAAGGCCCUGCUUUUGUGGGGUGCUCGAGUGGCGAACGGGUGAGUAACACGUGAGUAACCUGCCCUUGACUUUGGGAUAACUUCAGGAAACUGGGGCUAAUACCGGAUAGGAGCUCCUGCUGCAUGGGGGGGGUUGGAAAGUUUCGGCGGUUGGGGAUGGACUCGCGGCUUAUCAGCUUGUUGGUGGGGUAGUGGCUUACCAAGGCUUUGACGGGUAGCCGGCCUGAGAGGGUGACCGGCCACAUUGGGACUGAGAUACGGCCCAGACUCCUACGGGAGGCAGCAGUGGGGAAUAUUGCACAAUGGGCGGAAGCCUGAUGCAGCAACGCCGCGUGCGGGAUGACGGCCUUCGGGUUGUAAACCGCUUUCGCCUGUGACGAAGCGUGAGUGACGGUAAUGGGUAAAGAAGCACCGGCUAACUACGUG
Molecule: ribosomal RNA, 469 nt
Filed under: uncultured bacterium
Lineage: Bacteria
Description: partial 16S ribosomal RNA
Rfam family: Bacterial small subunit ribosomal RNA
Source: RNAcentral